This is a long non-coding RNA of Tigriopus californicus, 2063 nucleotides long. RefSeq lists it as uncharacterized. Lineage: Eukaryota; Metazoa; Arthropoda; Copepoda; Harpacticoida; Harpacticidae. The record is from RefSeq and is a predicted model, not a curated record. The transcript has 5 exons.
GAGACCAACCACCAAUAAGAAAAUGGAUGAAGCGAUUAAAGUGGUGAUUGUGGAUGAGCACAUGGAGAGAUAUGUGUUGAUGUAUGCCCGUUGCUUCUCAUCUCCAUCGAGGACGUACGCGUUGAAACUGGGCCAGUAAACCCACAGGAUCAUCGUUCCCAAAAACGAAAAGUGGUCGGACAUGACUGAACUCGUUUGUCUAUGCAAAGAGGCCUUCACAUCUUGAUUCCGGAGCGCAAAACUUAUUCCCAAUCCAAAAUAAGCACCAAAGGCGUGAAUGAAGAUGGUUCCACCUACCUCACAACGAAAGAGUAACAAAGAAAGAAUGGGAGAGCAAUGAAACCAAUAUACCCAACAAUGCACUUAGGACGUUAUUGACGUUGAAGGAUGAAGUUACCUGCAUCAAGGGCAGUAAGGAGUGAAUAUCCGAUAUGCAAAUUUGCCAAAUAGAGUGGCGUUUCAAGAAUAACCAUAACCAAACAUUGAAGUGGAGAUAUUUUUCCAAUGACUGCCCCGAACGAGAUCAAAACGGUCGCAGAAGCCAAAGAUCCGUCAACCACACUAAAAUAUGUGGAAAUACACACGUGUUAUCCUUGGUUCGUCUAACAAACCAACCAGCCAUAUUCUUUUUCCACCUCAAUCGUUAAUUGGAAGACUUCUUCUUUCUUACUCUGACCACGCAAUCCCAAAAGUGGUUUGUUGUUCGUUGAGUCUGGUCAGGCCUAAAAGAAGAAUGAACCAUUCGACGGAUGUCACAAUUAUGGUCAUGGUCAGAACCAAGGCAGAAUAGCCGGAAUGCUUCAGGAAUGUCAUGAGGAAUCCAAAUCCCACGAAGAGCAUCAUUUGAAUAUCCAUGGCCACUGAAAGAACAAGCGAUACCAAACUGACAUACUGACCGAGAUCGAUGACCGAAAGCAAUGGACAAGAACAGUGGCAACUGGUUUACUCGGAUAUUGUUGAUCGAGUUCACUCAGUUUAGCUGUCUCAGAUGUUCCUGGUUGGGCAGAUUCCGGGUCAUAUUCGGCCAAAAAAGCGAAUCCCAAGACUAUCACGAUCUGGAACAAUGACAAGAGACAAGCGAAUCUCUUUUGGGAUCCGUUUUGGACCGUCAUAUUGGAACUGAUGACUUCAACUGAGACCAAGGAGGAAAGCAACGGUUUCCCUUUAUCCGCUUUAUCAUUGAUUCAUCUUGUUUUUUUUUUUGAUCUAGGACAUUAUUCAAGGUUCUCCAGACCAAGAAAAACAUCUUUCACCCUCUGUCGCUACAUAAACUGUUGUACUGUACUUAACCAAAGUAAUGGUGGCAUGUUUGCAAUUUAUAUCUCAGAGUUCAUCCAUUUUCCACUUGGGUACACGUGCUCACAGUAGGAGGAGGAAACCGAAUUCCAAAGCCAUAAAUGGUUGGUCAUCCACGAGUACGUCUUCGUACCUACAAACUCAUCAGCAAAAAGUGAUAUGGAAAUCGUCCAGACUUUUGUUUGCUUCUUUGUUGGUCGUGGAUUGUCAAUUUCGUCAACAUUUUGGAAGAUAGACAUUCCUCAUUUUUGGUGAUGAGGAAGUCAGGAACGAUUAUUGGUUGAUCGGUUUGACGAUGACUUCUGCUUAAUUAAUCCAACCAUAGCAUGUGACCAAAUAUGGGCGAGAUUCAAUGGAUUUUGUUGGCAGGGCUCCAUCCUCCGUCCAACAUGGAAAUAUGAGUUCCUUAAUGUAAAGAAUAAAUUCCGCAAGACGCAUCUUAUGCCAGGAUCUUGAAUACUGUUCAAUGCCCGAUACACAUAUUCAAAGUCCUCCGUGGUUUGACGAGCAAGGUCUUUGACCGGCUGGGUAAACGUAUAACAUGACAUCAUCCAGAGCAAAACAUGGACGUCUCGAGAGUCCAAGAUGAGAGAGCCAAGGGCUAGCUUGCAUGAUGAGGCUUUUUCAUUUGGGUCCAAUGUGGAAAAACUCGUCCUAUUCGAAACUAUGCCCAUUCCCGCCCUCAGUGGCCAUCUAAUGCACGAGUUGCAUAUGGCCUAGACCCCAAAACCAUCAUUUGUUAUCUGUCAGGCCCAUGAAAUGCAUUC